This 253-nucleotide ribosomal RNA is filed under the name uncultured bacterium. RNAcentral describes it as "partial 16S ribosomal RNA". It matches the Rfam family "Bacterial small subunit ribosomal RNA", at positions 524 to 776 of the family's 1533-position model. The record is from RNAcentral.
UACGUAGGGUGCAAGCGUUAAUCGGAAUUACUGGGCGUAAAGCGUGCGCAGGCGGCUUUGUAAGUCAGAGGUGAAAUCCCCGGGCUCAACCUGGGAACUGCCUUUGUGACUGCAAGGCUUGAGUGCGGCAGAGGGGGAUGGAAUUCCGCGUGUAGCAGUGAAAUGCGUAGAUAUGCGGAGGAACACCGAUGGCGAAGGCAAUCCCCUGGGCCUGAACUGACGCUCAUGCACGAAAGCGUGGGGAGCAAACAGG